GGAGGAGGAGGUGUUAGUUUGGCCAGUUCCCAAUAGCUUCUCUCUGCUUCUUACCUCCAUCCCUCUUCUUUCCUCCAGUUUUCCUCCAUUUCUCUCUCCACCGGACAUCCGAUUGCUGCGUGAGGAGUGUACAAGAAAAAGAAAUGAAUGAAUGAAAAAAAAUAUUGAAAAUGCCAAAGAAAUGGAAAUAAAUCUUAGGGAAAUGAAAAAAAGUUGAUGAAAUGAAUAAAGUAUGAUUAUUUCCAUUAUUGAUAGAAUUGUGAAGAGAAGAUCAUGAAAUAUUGGAUCACAGGGAAAAAAAAAUUAAUGGACGAAUAAAUGAAAA
Long non-coding RNA from Portunus trituberculatus (swimming crab), 325 nucleotides. RefSeq lists it as uncharacterized. NCBI's taxonomy places the organism in Eukaryota, Metazoa, Arthropoda, Malacostraca, Decapoda, Portunidae. The transcript is spliced from 2 exons. The record is from RefSeq and is a predicted model, not a curated record.